UACGUAGGGUGCGAGCGUUAAUCGGAAUUACUGGGCGUAAAGCGUGCGCAGGCGGUUUUGUAAGUCAGGUGUGAAAUCCCCGGGCUCAACCUGGGAAUGGCAUUUGGGACUGCAAGGCUGGAGUGUGGCAGAGGAGACUGGAAUUCCUGGUGUAGCAGUGAAAUGCGUAGAUAUCAGGAGGAAUACCGAUGGCGAAGGCAGGUCUCUGGGCUGACACUGACGCUCAUGCACGAAAGCGUGGGGAGCAAACAGG
This 253-nucleotide ribosomal RNA is filed under the name uncultured bacterium. RNAcentral's name for it is "partial 16S ribosomal RNA". It matches the Rfam family "Bacterial small subunit ribosomal RNA", at positions 524 to 776 of the family's 1533-position model. The record is from RNAcentral.